AUUCUUGGUCAUUUAGAGGAAGUAAAAGUCGUAACAAGGUUUCCGUAGGUGAACCUGCGGAAGGAUCAUUACUAGAGCAAAGGAUAGACAGCGCCCGCGGAGCUCGCUCCCGGGGCCACCCUACUCCGGUAGGGUUUAGAGUCGUCGGGCCUCUCGGAGAAGCUCGGUCCUGAACUCCACCCUUGAAUAAACUACCUUUGUUGCUUUGGCGGGCCGCCUCGUGCCAGCGGCUUCGGCUGUUGAGUGCCCGCCAGAGGACCACAACUCUUGUUUUUAGUGAUGUCUGAGUACUAUAUAAUAGUUAAAACUUUCAACAACGGAUCUCUUGGCUCUGGCAUCGAUGAAGAACGCAGCGAAAUGCGAUAAGUAAUGUGAAUUGCAGAAUUCAGUGAAUCAUCGAAUCUUUGAACGCACAUUGCGCCCUCUGGUAUUCCGGGGGGCAUGCCUGUUCGAGCGUCAUUAUAACCACUCAAGCUCUCGCUUGGUAUUGGGGUUCGCGGUUUCGCGGCUCCUAAAAUCAGUGGCGGUGCCUAUCGGCUCUACGCGUAGUAAUACUCCUCGCGAUUGAGUCCGGUAGGUCUACUUGCCAGCAACCCCUAAUUUUUUAAGGUUGACCUCGGAUCAGGUAGGGAUACCCGCUGAACUUAAGCAUAUCAAUAAGCGGAGGAAAAGAAACCAACAGGGAUUGCCCCAGUAACGGCGAGUGAAGCGGCAAUAGCUCAAAUUUGAAAUCUGGCUCUUUCAGGGUCCGAGUUGUAAUUUGCAGAGGGCGCUUUGGCGUCGGCAGCAGCCUAAGUUCCUUGGAACAGGUCAUCAUAGAGGGUGAGAAUCCCAUAUGUGGCUGCUUGUCUUCGCCGUGUAAAGCCCCUUCGAUGAGUCGAGUUGUUUGGGAAUGCAGCUCUAAAUGGGAGGUAAAUUUCUUCUAAAGCUAAAUAUUGGCCAGAGACCGAUAGCGCACAAGUAGAGUGAUCGAAAGAUGAAAAGAAUC
RNAcentral lists this ribosomal RNA (988 nucleotides) under uncultured Protoventuria. RNAcentral's name for it is "eukaryotic LSU rRNA". The stretch from base 612 to 988 matches the Rfam family "Eukaryotic large subunit ribosomal RNA", at positions 1 to 375 of the family's 3401-position model. Lineage: Eukaryota; Fungi; Ascomycota; Dothideomycetes; Venturiales; Venturiaceae. The record is from RNAcentral.